RNAcentral lists this ribosomal RNA (1554 nucleotides) under Salmonella enterica subsp. enterica serovar Concord. Its description in RNAcentral is "bacterial SSU rRNA". It matches the Rfam family "Bacterial small subunit ribosomal RNA". Lineage: Bacteria; Pseudomonadati; Pseudomonadota; Gammaproteobacteria; Enterobacterales; Enterobacteriaceae. The record is from RNAcentral.
AAAUUGAAGAGUUUGAUCAUGGCUCAGAUUGAACGCUGGCGGCAGGCCUAACACAUGCAAGUCGAACGGUAACAGGAAGCAGCUUGCUGCUUCGCUGACGAGUGGCGGACGGGUGAGUAAUGUCUGGGAAACUGCCUGAUGGAGGGGGAUAACUACUGGAAACGGUGGCUAAUACCGCAUAACGUCGCAAGACCAAAGAGGGGGACCUUCGGGCCUCUUGCCAUCAGAUGUGCCCAGAUGGGAUUAGCUAGUUGGUGAGGUAACGGCUCACCAAGGCGACGAUCCCUAGCUGGUCUGAGAGGAUGACCAGCCACACUGGAACUGAGACACGGUCCAGACUCCUACGGGAGGCAGCAGUGGGGAAUAUUGCACAAUGGGCGCAAGCCUGAUGCAGCCAUGCCGCGUGUAUGAAGAAGGCCUUCGGGUUGUAAAGUACUUUCAGCGGGGAGGAAGGUGUUGCGGUUAAUAACCGCAGCAAUUGACGUUACCCGCAGAAGAAGCACCGGCUAACUCCGUGCCAGCAGCCGCGGUAAUACGGAGGGUGCAAGCGUUAAUCGGAAUUACUGGGCGUAAAGCGCACGCAGGCGGUCUGUCAAGUCGGAUGUGAAAUCCCCGGGCUCAACCUGGGAACUGCAUUCGAAACUGGCAGGCUUGAGUCUUGUAGAGGGGGGUAGAAUUCCAGGUGUAGCGGUGAAAUGCGUAGAGAUCUGGAGGAAUACCGGUGGCGAAGGCGGCCCCCUGGACAAAGACUGACGCUCAGGUGCGAAAGCGUGGGGAGCAAACAGGAUUAGAUACCCUGGUAGUCCACGCCGUAAACGAUGUCUACUUGGAGGUUGUGCCCUUGAGGCGUGGCUUCCGGAGCUAACGCGUUAAGUAGACCGCCUGGGGAGUACGGCCGCAAGGUUAAAACUCAAAUGAAUUGACGGGGGCCCGCACAAGCGGUGGAGCAUGUGGUUUAAUUCGAUGCAACGCGAAGAACCUUACCUGGUCUUGACAUCCACAGAACUUUCCAGAGAUGGAUUGGUGCCUUCGGGAACUGUGAGACAGGUGCUGCAUGGCUGUCGUCAGCUCGUGUUGUGAAAUGUUGGGUUAAGUCCCGCAACGAGCGCAACCCUUAUCCUUUGUUGCCAGCGGUCCGGCCGGGAACUCAAAGGAGACUGCCAGUGAUAAACUGGAGGAAGGUGGGGAUGACGUCAAGUCAUCAUGGCCCUUACGACCAGGGCUACACACGUGCUACAAUGGCGCAUACAAAGAGAAGCGACCUCGCGAGAGCAAGCGGACCUCAUAAAGUGCGUCGUAGUCCGGAUUGGAGUCUGCAACUCGACUCCAUGAAGUCGGAAUCGCUAGUAAUCGUGGAUCAGAAUGCCACGGUGAAUACGUUCCCGGGCCUUGUACACACCGCCCGUCACACCAUGGGAGUGGGUUGCAAAAGAAGUAGGUAGCUUAACCUUCGGGAGGGCGCUUACCACUUUGUGAUUCAUGACUGGGGUGAAGUCGUAACAAGGUAACCGUAGGGGAACCUGCGGUUGGAUCACCUCCUUACCUUAAAGAAGC